This 496-nucleotide ribosomal RNA is filed under the name uncultured bacterium. RNAcentral's name for it is "partial 16S ribosomal RNA". It matches the Rfam family "Bacterial small subunit ribosomal RNA", at positions 28 to 506 of the family's 1533-position model. The record is from RNAcentral.
GAUGAACGCUGGCGGCGUGCCUAAUACAUGCAAGUCGAGCGAACAGACGAGGAGCUUGCUCCUCUGACGUUAGCGGCGGACGGGUGAGUAACACGUGGAUAACCUACCUAUAAGACUGGGAUAACUUCGGGAAACCGGAGCUAAUACCGGAUAAUAUAUUGAACCGCAUGGUUCAAUAGUGAAAGACGGUUUUGCUGUCACUUAUAGAUGGAUCCGCGCCGCAUUAGCUAGUUGGUAAGGUAACGGCUUACCAAGGCAACGAUGCGUAGCCGACCUGAGAGGGUGAAGGGCCACACGGGAACAGAGAAACGGACCAGAACCCCACGGGGGGCAGGAGUAGGGAAACUGCCGAAAGGGGAGAAAGCCUGAGGGAGCAACGCCGGGUGGGUGAUGAAGGUUUUCGGAUAGUAAAACUCUUUUAUUAGGAAAGAAAAAAGGGGAAAGUAAAUAGGCACGUUUUGACGGUAACAAAGCAAAAAACCACGGAUAAAUACGU